GCCCCGCUGGUGUAGUGGUCUAACACAGCGCAUCAUACUCCAACGCUAACGACUAUACAAGUAACGCAGCCCAGGGUUCGAAUCCCUGGUGGGGUA
Non-coding RNA from Neurospora sp. IMI 360204, 96 nucleotides. The record is from the annotation of a GenBank genome assembly. NCBI's taxonomy places the organism in Eukaryota, Fungi, Ascomycota, Sordariomycetes, Sordariales, Sordariaceae.